GAUGAACGCUGGCGGCGUGCCUAAUACAUGCAAGUCGAGCGAACAGAUGAGGAGCUUGCUCCUCUGACGUUAGCGGCGGACGGGUGAGUAACACGUGGAUAACCUACCUAUAAGACUGGGAUAACUUCGGGAAACCGGAGCUAAUACCGGAUAAUAUAUUGAACCGCAUGGUUCAAUAGUGAAAGACGGUUUUGCUGUCACUUAUAGAUGGAUCCGCGCCGCAUUAGCUAGUUGGUAAGGUAACGGCUUACCAAGGCGACGAUGCGUAGCCGACCUGAGAGGGUGAUCGGCCACACUGGAACUGAGACACGGUCCAGACUCCUACGGGAGGCAGCAGUAGGGAAUCUUCCGCAAUGGGCGAAAGCCUGACGGAGCAACGCCGCGUGAGUGAUGAAGGUCUUCGGAUCGUAAAACUCUGUUAUUAGGGAAGAACAAAUGUGUAAGUAACUAUGCACGUCUUGACGGUACCUAAUCAGAAAGCCACGGAUAACUACGUG
Molecule: ribosomal RNA, 497 nt
Filed under: uncultured bacterium
Lineage: Bacteria
Description: partial 16S ribosomal RNA
Rfam family: Bacterial small subunit ribosomal RNA
Source: RNAcentral